ACCUUCCUCAGGAAGGUGAUGACGAAGAAGAUGAAAAUCAAAGUAAUCAUGCGGAUGAAGGUGAGAAUCUAAAUGCUGGUCUUGAUAAAGAAGAAGAUGAAUAACAAAGUCAUCGUGUACCAGAAGGAGAAAGCCCAAAUGAUGGUGAUGAUGAAAAAGAAGACAAACAGAAUCCACAAGAGAAGGACAUCAAAGAUAAAUCAUGUGACGAGGGACCAUCAUUCGAUCUUAAGUGUUUUAAUUCACCUGAGGAAAAAAAGUGAAAGAUGGAUAAGAAAAAUAAUAUUGUUA
Molecule: non-coding RNA, 291 nt
Organism: Camelina sativa (false flax)
Lineage: Eukaryota; Viridiplantae; Streptophyta; Magnoliopsida; Brassicales; Brassicaceae
Source: RefSeq, a predicted model, not a curated record